AUUUAGUUUAAUUUUUACUUAAAGGGAGUGACCGGCUAUCCCUUCACAACCUGCCAGUCGUAAUGGUGGACAAAAUGAUGGUUGAUCAUUUUAUUUAUUUAUAUUUCUGUUAUGUUAUGUUUUAAAUUUCAUCUGUAUGUUUAAUAGUAAUACAGGGUAAUACCACAAA
This is a long non-coding RNA of Eurytemora carolleeae, 169 nucleotides long. RefSeq lists it as uncharacterized. The transcript is spliced from 2 exons. Lineage: Eukaryota; Metazoa; Arthropoda; Copepoda; Calanoida; Temoridae. The record is from RefSeq and is a predicted model, not a curated record.